Rosa chinensis is the source of this 316-nucleotide long non-coding RNA. RefSeq lists it as uncharacterized. NCBI's taxonomy places the organism in Eukaryota, Viridiplantae, Streptophyta, Magnoliopsida, Rosales, Rosaceae. The transcript has 2 exons. The record is from RefSeq and is a predicted model, not a curated record.
GAAGACUAUUAAAGAUGCCAUCGGCGAGCUUGGUGACCAUAGCUUCUUCUUCAUCAUCUGUAGCCAGCUCUGUUCACACCAACAAAAUCAUCUAUCUACAAAUCUGGAAGCCUCUAUAUAUACCGAAAUUCGCUGUCUCUGGUUAUGGGGUUCGGUUGUCAAUCAAAGCUUUCAGAGUUUGAUAACGUUCACUCCUCCAAAUUAGUUGGUUCGGUGAUUGAUCAAAUCUUGAUAGAGUUUGGUUCUUCUUGAUACCGUUACCUCUUCGAUAUUAUCAGAUAAAGAGAGGGAUAUGAGAACUGGGGAAGGAGGAAAA